UGGCGGACGGGUGAGUAACGCGUGGGUAACCUGCCUCACACUGGGGGAUAACAGUUAGAAAUAGCUGCUAAUACCGCAUAAGCGCACGGUUCCGCAUGGAACAGUGUGAAAAACUCCGGUGGUGUGAGAUGGACCCGCGUCUGAUUAGCCAGUUGGCGGGGUAACGGCCCACCAAAGCGACGAUCAGUAGCCGGCCUGAGAGGGCGAACGGCCACAUUGGGACUGAGACACGGCCCAA
RNAcentral lists this ribosomal RNA (238 nucleotides) under uncultured bacterium. RNAcentral describes it as "partial 16S ribosomal RNA". It matches the Rfam family "Bacterial small subunit ribosomal RNA", at positions 96 to 334 of the family's 1533-position model. The record is from RNAcentral.